This 236-nucleotide ribosomal RNA is filed under the name uncultured bacterium. Its description in RNAcentral is "partial 16S ribosomal RNA". It matches the Rfam family "Bacterial small subunit ribosomal RNA", at positions 102 to 334 of the family's 1533-position model. The record is from RNAcentral.
ACGGGUGCGUAACGCGUAUGCAACCUACCUUUAACAGGGGGAGUAACACUGAGAAAUUGGUACUAAUACCCAUAAUAUGGGCGCUCCGCAUGGAGAGUCCAUUAAAGAGAGCAAUCUUGGUUACAGACGAGCAUGCGCUCCAUUAGCCAGUUGGCGGGGUAACGGCCCACCAAGGCGACGAUGGAUAGGGGUUCUGAGAGGAAGGUCCCCCACAUUGGAACUGAGACACGGUCCAA